GGCUGUUCUCAGGUGACACACCCCAGAAUCAGGCUCCCUCCUCUCUGAGUCACCCGAGAACCGCA
This is a non-coding RNA of Myotis davidii, 65 nucleotides long. The record is from Rfam. Lineage: Eukaryota; Metazoa; Chordata; Mammalia; Chiroptera; Vespertilionidae.